AUUAAAUCUUAAAAAAACAGCAAAAUCAGAAGGAAAACAAUUAGUUAACGGUAUGCUAAGAUGAUACACUCACUCUUAUCUAUUGUAUGUAGUGCUUGCAUAAUCAGUCAUGUGCAUGCAUGCUACUUUAAAUGCGUUUCAGUUAAUUCUGGUGAGAUGAUCUACUGUGGGCCGCCAACUUCUUAUGGGAGGGGGUGUUGUUUGACAAAAUUAGUUAAUGCUGGUGAGAUGAGGUGCAAAUGCAGAAUGAUGUGGAAGAUAAAUUCUGGUGUUACAGUCACAUCUAAUUGUAUAUAUAGGCUUGAUAUUUUUUGACGCAUUCAAAUGUACUUUCAAGGAGCAGUGAGACCCAUUUGAAGCUGGUCAAUGUACUUUCAGGGAGCAGUGAGACAUUUGAAGUUUUUUGGCACACAAGAAAGCUGGGUAGAUGUCGCGGCUGGGGUGUUCUCUUCUCCCUGCGGUGUUAGGCUCUGUUACGGAUGAGUCGAGAACGCCCCACAGCCUCCACUGCACCUCCAUUGGAGCUGUCGAGAGCAUCUCAGAUACCGAAGAAAUAAAUCAAUGCCAUGCAGAUCAUGCAUCCCGUCUGGGUGUCCAAGAGCGAAAGUCGGAUGUCAAUGCAUUCAAUGUAUUUGAAACAAUGGAUGUAAGACAGAAUCAAUUAGUGGAUAUUUCAACAAUGGAUGUAAGACAGAACCAAUGCGCGGAUCUGUUGAAAGUAUGUACUGUAAGCACAACUGUUGUAAUACCUACCCAGAAACUGGGAAACUGGGAAUCGGCGGCGCCUCCAAAACGGGAACGCGGCGCCGUCGGUUUCUGUGCGUGAUCGGCGGCGCCUCCAAAACGGCAACGUGGUGCCGUCCGCUGAAGGGCGGCUGAGGCGAAACUUAGGAUCGGCAGCGGCAAAGGCAAUGAUGUCCGGAGGGGGCGAGGGGAUGGAUCGGGCGAGCGAAGGAGAGGUUGGCGGCGGCGGCAGAAGAUCAGAUGUGGGCACGACGCAUCGAUCGGGCGUUUUUUUUGGCGUUAGAGGUGUGACGUAACGUGGGCGGGGCGUUAGACGAAGAAAAACCAGCGAAGGGAGGGAUGGUGGGAGGAUAGACGAUAAAAAACCAGUGAAAAAAACCGGAAGACUAUUCACCAACUGCUAUAUUAG
Triticum aestivum (bread wheat) is the source of this 1153-nucleotide long non-coding RNA. RefSeq lists it as uncharacterized. The record is from RefSeq and is a predicted model, not a curated record. NCBI's taxonomy places the organism in Eukaryota, Viridiplantae, Streptophyta, Magnoliopsida, Poales, Poaceae. The transcript has 3 exons.